UACGGAGGGUGCGAGCGUUGUCCGGAAUCACUGGGCGUAAAGGGCGCGUAGGCGGCGCGAGCAGUCGGCGGUGAAAGCCCGGAGCUCAACUCCGGGUCGGCCGUCGAUACUCUCGUGCUCGAGCACUGUAGAGGCAGGUGGAAUUCCGGGUGUAGCGGUGGAAUGCGUAGAGAUCCGGAAGAACACCGGUGGCGAAGGCGGCCUGCUGGGCAGUAGCUGACGCUGAUGCGCGACAGCGUGGGGAGCAAACAGG
This 253-nucleotide ribosomal RNA is filed under the name uncultured bacterium. RNAcentral's name for it is "partial 16S ribosomal RNA". It matches the Rfam family "Bacterial small subunit ribosomal RNA", at positions 524 to 776 of the family's 1533-position model. RNAcentral also lists the same sequence under 1 other name. The record is from RNAcentral.